CAGUGGGGAAUUUUCCGCAAUGGGCGAAAGCCUGACGGAGCAAUGCCGCGUGGAGGUGGAAGGCCUACGGGUCGUCAACUUCUUUUCUCGGAGAAGAAACAAUGACGGUAUCUGAGGAAUAAGCAUCGGCUAACUCUGUGCCAG
Molecule: ribosomal RNA, 144 nt
Filed under: uncultured bacterium
Lineage: Bacteria
Description: partial 16S rRNA
Rfam family: Bacterial small subunit ribosomal RNA
Source: RNAcentral